AAAAUUUUAGGUUAAAUAAACUUUUGACCUUCAAAGUCAACAAUGCUUUUUAGCAAAUUUUU
RNAcentral lists this transfer RNA (62 nucleotides) under Valvata hokkaidoensis. RNAcentral's name for it is "tRNA-Trp". The record is from RNAcentral. Lineage: Eukaryota; Metazoa; Mollusca; Gastropoda; Valvatidae.